Molecule: ribosomal RNA, 420 nt
Filed under: uncultured Nitrososphaerota archaeon
Lineage: Archaea; Thermoproteati; Nitrososphaerota
Description: bacterial SSU rRNA
Rfam family: Archaeal small subunit ribosomal RNA
Source: RNAcentral
CAGCCGCCGCGGUAAAACCAGCACCUCAAGUGGUCAGGAUGAUUAUUGGGCCUAAAGCAUCCGUAGCCGGCUCUGUAAGUUUUCGGUUAAAUCUGUAUGCUCAACAUACAGGCUGCCGGGAAUACUGCAGAGCUAGGGAGUGGGAGAGGUAGACGGUACUCGGUAGGAGGGGGUAAAAUCCUUUGAUCUAUUGAUGACCACCUGUGGCGAAGGCGGUCUACCAGAACACGUCCGACGGUGAGGGAUGAAAGCUGGGGGAGCAAACCGGACUAGAUACCCGGGUAGUCCCAGCUGUAAACUAUGCAAACUCAGUGAUGCAUUGGCUUGUGGCCAAUGCAGUGCUGCAGGGAGGCCGUUAAGUUUGCCGCCUGGGAAGUACGUACGCAAGUAUGAAACUUAAAGGAAUUGGCGGGGGAGCAC